This 430-nucleotide ribosomal RNA is filed under the name uncultured bacterium. RNAcentral's name for it is "partial 16S ribosomal RNA". It matches the Rfam family "Bacterial small subunit ribosomal RNA", at positions 29 to 506 of the family's 1533-position model. The record is from RNAcentral.
AGCGAACGCUGGCGGCAGGCUUAACACAUGCAAGUCGAGCGCCCCGCAAGGGGAGCGGCAGACGGGAGAGUACCACGUGGGAACAUACCUUUUGGUUCGGAACAACUGAGGGAAACUUCAGCUAAUACCGGAUAAGCCCUUACGGGGAAAGAUUUAUCGCCGAAAGAUUGGCCCGCGUCUGAUUAGCUAGUUGGUGAGGUAACGGCUCACCAAGGCGACGAUCAGUAGCUGGUCUGAGAGGAUGAUCAGCCUCACUGGGACUGAGACACGGCCCAGACUCCUACGGGAGGCAGCAGUGGGGAAUAUUGGACAAUGGGGGCAACCCUGAUCCAGCCAUGCCGCGUGAGUGAUGAAGGCCUUAGGGUUGUAAAGCUCUUUUGCCCGGGAAGAUAAUGACGGUACCGGGAGAAUAAGCCCCGGCUAACUUCGU